GAGCUUCCAAAGCAACACCAUGUGUCAGCGUUAUUUGUGCCCUUUCCCCAGCAGCAAACCAGGGAGCCCUGGAUCUGUUUACACCUCCGUCGGUACCAACGCUGAGCUGCUCCGAGGGGUUCUGCCGGUUCUGGGAUUUGAUUUCUGGAGAUUUGUUGAGCCAAAGUGUAGAAUCCCGGCUUUACGGAAGAUCAUUCUGUGAGGAAUUUGUUUCUGGACAGGAUUGUCAAGGUGAAAGAUGUCGUUAAAGAGCCGGCUGGUUUCCAUGUUCUUGUGCUGUGUUUACUGCGUGGCCUCGCUCUUCUGCCUCCAUCCGAACCGCAGCAACGUCAUCUCAGUGGGAGCGAGGAGUCUGGCGUCCGUCGUCCAGCAGCUUUACCAGCGUGUCGUUCGGAUGCUGAGAACCACGCUGUGACUUCACACCACUUCCUGUGUUUGAAAGAGCCUCCUCUGUCACUGUGACCGUGACCGAGCAUGCCUCCCAACAGAGCGAGAGCAAACGAAUAAAAGAAGAGGAAAGAACGGAGGAAUAAUGUGUGGGCCUGCAGAGUUUGCAUCAACACAUAUGAAUACAGACUUAUUUUUCUUCAAAUGAAGGCGGACAACGUUGACAUUUGCUGUAUGAGAUAUUAGUCGGAUGUGUCUCUGGUUGGGUAGACUAAGUAAAAAAUUAUGGAAUGGUAAUUUGGUUUAAAUACAAAAAGAAAAACGAACCUAGUGUUUUAUGUAUUUGGCAAAAUCAGUUGUAGUGAGUGAGUGUGGUUUAGCAGAGAAACGUUAACUUAUCAGUUGUCUUGACAAUUUUAAAGAUUACCAAAAGUAAUUCUAAGUCAAAACAUGCAGAUUUAAUGGAUGAAAAGGGGAAAAAAAAUAAUGAAAGGCAAUUUCACUUAAAAACACGUUAAAAUAUCCUGCAAAAGUAUCCAUACCUCAUCAGCUUUUGCUAAAAAAAAAGCAACCAACAGUAUUUCAUUGAUGUGUAAAGAACUUUUGUCUCCUUCUCUCACAAAUUUGGAGUCUGUCGUCCAACUUUUUCCCAGCAGAAGCGUUAUUAUGACCUGAAUGAAUCUUUGAAAACUCAACAACUGGCUGCUCUAAGAGCUAAAAUAGAGUGUGUUGCUUGGAGUUUGCAUCACAUUCGUAGUUUCCUGAUUGGUUCUAAGUUAUUUCCCCUCACCCUGUUAGUCCCACCUUUGAAAUUGGGCUCUACCGGCUGCUUUUCAGACUGAUGUGCCGUGUUUACGGCGUAAGCCAGUGUGGCUGGCCAGGUCAGUGCUAUACAACAUUUCACAAAUGACUGUUCAGUCCAUCAUCUGAAAAUGGAAAGAGCAUGGAACAACUGCAAACCUGCCAAGAUAUGGCUGAUCAAAUAAACCGACAGCAUUAAUCAGAGAAGCAGCCAGGCAGCUCAUGGGAACUCUGGAGGAGCUGCAGAGAUUCACAGCCCAGGAGGGAGACUUUUUUUUUUUACAUGAUAGCUAACUGCACACUCUACAAAUGUGGUCUAAUUGAAGAAAAAAAAGAGUCAUUGCUAAAAGAAAGCUAUAGGAAAUCCAGGACCAAAGCUUAACCUUUUUUUUUUUUUUUUUUGCAUGGCAAAACACUGAGUCUGCAUAUUCUGUGGUGAAACACAGUGGUGGCAACAUUAUGCUGUGGGGCUUAUUUUCUUAGCCAGGGACAGGGAAGCUGAUCAGACUUGAUGAGAAGAUAGAUAGAAAUAACAAUAGGGAAAUAUUGGACCUAUUAUAGGCUCACAAAGGAUUUGAGAAAAGGCCAUAGCAGCUGGAGCCCAUUUCAGCCACAGGGUGUCACAGUAAAACACACAAUUCCCUUUUUUUUUUUUUUCUAUAAAAUGUGGGAGAAAAUUAGAAUUAAUAAACAGUUCGGCCUCCACCCCCAAGGAAAGCCCUGCUAAUAAGGUCUUAAAUGUGUAUUUGAACAUUCAGUAUAAAUUGCUAAUAUCAGCUCAGUAAAUAUUGUGCUUUUAACCACAAAUUCAUCCCUGGUGCCGACCGUGACGUCUCAUCUCUUGUGGACAGUGGCAUAAUUGUUUGAUGCGUUAAAUCGCGGGUUUGAACCUUUUAAUAGAUCUAUUUAAACACUGUACAGCUUCAUUUGGUAGGAAAAUAACCUCCGGGGUGGUGUUUAUAACAAUGCAAAAGAGUUUUCCUGCAACAGAAAACAGCGGGGCACAUGCGUGUUUGUUUGUUUCUUCGUGCAUUAAGCGGCUCUGAAAAGUCUCAUUUUGCCUCAUUUACUUUGAGCACGAGAGGUGCAACUCAAACUGUCUAAAUUGCCUGGCGCCAAUGAGUGUUCAGAUUUUUUGGGGGGGGCUGAGCUGUUUUAGUCUUAUUCUUUGAGUUUUGUUGGCACAUUUUUAGCUUGUCUGUUGUCUCAUCAUAAAGAGGAUGCUGCAGCGGGCUCUGCAUCUUCCAGCUGGACAACGACCACUUGCAGCCAAAGCCAGAAUGGUUCAGUCAAAGACCAGACAUAUCCAACUGAGAAUAUGUGGCAUGAUUUAAAAAUAGUUGUAAACAACUACUGUCAGUCCAUUCUAAGUGAGAUUAAACUUCUUUUUUUUAAAAGAAAGACACAAAAUCAAUGUCCAGAAGUACAAAGCUGGUAGAGACACAACCCAACAGACUUGCAGCUGUAAUUGCAGCUCAAGAAGGUGGAAUAUUAAUGUGUGCCACUCUUAUAACGUUUUCAGUUGUAACAAAACAUGUUUUUUCCCCCCUUUAACUUCACAAUUAUGCAACAUUUUGUGUUGGUGUAUGAAAGGAAAUUCCAGUGAAACACAUUAAAGCUCGUGGGUUUAACAUUAGAAAAUGUAACAAAAUACUCUGGGAGGUAUGGUUACUUUUGCAAAACAAGAGAAAAGAAACACAAAGAUCUGAUGUGUGCAAGCAUAAAAUAUAAUUUAAGACUUCAGUAGGACACAUGUUUCUUACAUCAGGCACACUUUGUUUGCAAAGGGGAUGUGUUUUUCUUGUCAAUAAUCCAGAAAUGAUGAGCUACAGUGUCAUUGCAUUCAGUUUUUUGGGUUUUUUUUUGCAUUGUAUAGUGUUCUUCCGACUCUAAAUAUGUAUUUUUAUUUUUUAUUUUUAUUAUGAAACAUAUAUCAUAUUUUUUAUUUACAAUAUUUAUCAAUUUGUUUUUGUUUUUUGAUUGUCAAAUUGUAAACGGAAUAGUUACAACAAAUGAAAAAAAAAUGUGGUGAAGUUACUUUGAAAAUUAGAUGUCUGGAGGAGAAUCUAACUGCAUGUGCGACCGGCCUUUUCACUUAAAUCUAAAUCAAGUAUUGUUAUUUAACAAUAAACCAUAAAAAACAGGGGACAUUGUGUCUGCAGGUUUGAGCUAAUAAACAUGAUUUUUGAUGUGAAAAUGGUUUUGAUUGUCAGAAAGAUGAGAUGUAAGAUAGUGAGGAUGAUAAUAUUUAGGAGAGAGUUGUGAGAAGGAUAAUCUGUAGGUCAGAAAGAAAGGAUAACGACAAAGUCAGAAGAGAAGAAUGUGAAAACAGAGAAAAAGGCUAAAUGGUGUAGAAGUGGAUGGUUCACAAAGAUGAAACCUGACCUCCAUAACUCUUGUUCUUAUAUGAGAGAUAAUCUGAAGGAUGCCCGUCUGUGGGCUUAUGUCUUACUGGACUUCACAAAUGAGCAACAGAUCCCCGCAACCUGUUUUCAUUUUGUGCAAGAAACUCUAAAGACAUCAAUGCUUUAUUAGUGUGUGAAUCUGAGCAAAAUCAGCAUCAGUGUGCAGCCUUUCCAGUUGAUGUAUAUUUGUUAGCAACCCAGACUAGAUGGUAGUUUUCCUUUCUAAUGUACUGAUUACUUACAUUUAAUAUGAAAAACAUUUAAUCAUAGGGAGUUUUUUUAUGUUGUGAUAAGAGAAAAGCUGAUUUGAUUUUCUACCUAGACUUCUUUGUCAUUUUGCAAAGAUAUUUGAAAAUAAAAGAUGGUGGAUAAUUUCCAGCGAUUUAACUGAAUGUUAUUUUGGGUGGAAACAUCUAGAAAAAACUUUCUUGUUCUAAUGACGGACAUUUUUAAACACAUUUGUAUGAAAUGAGUGCAUAGAAAUAAAAUGACUCUCCAUGGAUAACAUUGUUGACCGUUUCCAAGUUUUGCUGUUGUAAAUUAGUUUUAAUAAAUGGUCAAAUCUGA
Molecule: long non-coding RNA, 4160 nt
Organism: Fundulus heteroclitus (mummichog)
Lineage: Eukaryota; Metazoa; Chordata; Actinopteri; Cyprinodontiformes; Fundulidae
Exons: 3
Source: RefSeq, a predicted model, not a curated record